Dipodomys ordii (Ord's kangaroo rat) is the source of this 71-nucleotide non-coding RNA. Lineage: Eukaryota; Metazoa; Chordata; Mammalia; Rodentia; Heteromyidae. The record is from Rfam.
GGGAAGGUAGCUCAGCUGUAGAGUGCAUGCCUUGCAAGCAUGAGGCCCUGGGUUAGAUUCCUCAGCACCCA